Pezoporus flaviventris is the source of this 1818-nucleotide long non-coding RNA. RefSeq lists it as uncharacterized. The transcript has 2 exons. The record is from RefSeq and is a predicted model, not a curated record. Lineage: Eukaryota; Metazoa; Chordata; Aves; Psittaciformes; Psittacidae.
UGUCCUGUCUUGCACCUCUUUGAUACUGAAAAUGACAGCUAUAGGCUAUUACAAACAGACUUCUGGACUUUGUGUAGAUGUAGAGGUCUGCAUGUGCAAAGCAUGAGGUUCAAAAUGUUAAUCUCAAAAACAUCAGUGUAAAAAAAGGCCAGGUGUCCUAUGAACUAAUUGGGAAGACAAAAGGAUAGAAGCGAUCUGAAGUGGCACAAGCCAGAGCACUUUAAUAUAGAAUUUUUCUGGGAGAUAGUGUCUUAUGCUUUGAGAAGCAUUGUCUUGAGGAAAUGAGUAGCUCAGCUUGUAUUUACACUGCUGUUAAUUAAAAGGGGAUUGAAGGACAUUUCCAUUACAUGGUUUUUCUCUUAAGCUUCAAUUACAACUUUUGUUUUAAAAGGAUAAUUUCUAAAAAGGAUCAUAAUUUAGUGUCCAGUAAAGUACACAGGUUUCGUAAGUAAAUGUUUAAACAAGAAUAAUGCAAGUCUAUUAGCUAAGACUUACUGAGGUAGAAAUCCAUCUGGUAUAAUUAAUUAUAUACAGGUAUUUGGCAUUUGUCACAGAGCAGUUUAAAUAGAUGUAACAAAUGCAACUUUGUAAUUUUUUAAUUUUUUUUUUUAAGGUUCGUAUCAUUCAGUAUGGCUGUUCACAGCCUGGGUCUGUGGCUUUGCUUUUCUAGAAAACAACCCAGCCAAAUGCCCCACAAACUAAGAAGUGUCACUGCCUGUUAUUCACUAACAGCCCUAUUAGAAAGAGGCUUGAAAUACAAGAUCAUGAAUGCUAAGUGUUUUUUACAUCAAGUGUUCUUGGAACAUCUAGACUGAGGUCUCCAAUGUGAAAUGACUGAACAUUGUUUAUGGAAGUUCCUGCCUCAAAAUAGGAUGCUGACAAGAAUAUUUAUUGCAGUAUCUGUGUGCAUUAAAUCUAUAUGAGCCAGUUUAUAGAAUGGUUCUACAGAGCCUGAAAGGAAAGGAAAACAUCUGGGAGACUUCUAGUCCCAUUGGUGUAAGUGCUGAAUAUGGUGCAGAAGUAUCAAUUCUGCGUUAGUUAAUACCAAUGUAAUGCAAAGAGUUGCUAUUAAUAGUAAGUUGUUAGUAUCACUGAAUUAAUGAAUUCAGAUACUUAAAGAAAAUAAUAAAGUGUGUGUGACACCUCCCUGCUUUGUCUUGCUUUACUCUAUUUAUUUUGUGGGCUAACUAAUAUUAGACAUACCAGCUAAGAGGAGCACUAAAACUGCUGUUUUUAAGAAUGUUUUUAACUAAUCAAUAAGAAAAUGAUGUAAAACUCUUAAGUUAUGGUAGAAAUGUACAUGUAGGUGGAAGUCUAUGUGGCCUGUCUUGCACCUUGCUAAUCAGUGAUGCCAAAAUUUGAAGGUUUUGGGUUCAGGUUUUCAAGUCAGAAGUUAAAAUAGUUUCCAUUUUGUUAAAGAUUGUAAUGUGUUACCUGUUCCUGGAACUUUUCUUGCUUUCUGGUCUUUGCACCAAGAAAGCGAUGAGGUUGGGAGGAGCACGUAAAGCUAGCAGCUAUUAACUGGAAUCUGUUAUAAGGCUGCAUGAGGAAUUUCCCAAGCUUACCAAAAGAAUACUUCAGAAAGAGAAGACUAAAGAUCUAUGGAAUACUUAGUGCUGGUGAUCUAAGAAGCAGACCUUGAACUGCUCGGUUUUCAUCAGCUGUACCAAAGGGAAAAGAGCAAAAGCUUGUUUUUACUACUAAGCUGAGUGAAUAUGGCAUGGAAAUCUUGUAAUGGCAAGGUAUCAAUUUUGUAAAGUGAUAUAUUUCAGAGGGGAUACUAAAUUCGACUGUGAAUAAAAAGCUUUAUAAAUGGAA